RNAcentral lists this ribosomal RNA (283 nucleotides) under Eupoecilaema panamaense. Its description in RNAcentral is "partial large subunit ribosomal RNA". Lineage: Eukaryota; Metazoa; Arthropoda; Arachnida; Opiliones; Cosmetidae. The record is from RNAcentral.
UUUUUUAAUUGAGGACUGGAAUGAAAGGUAGAUACUAAAAGGAUGGUUUUUUUUAAUGAUUUUGAAUUUUAUUUAAAAGUAAAAAAGCUUUUAUUAAUCCUUGGGACGAGAAGACCCUAGAAGUUUAAAAUAAAUUAUUUUUAAUUGGGGCAAUUGUUGAAGAGAUUAAUUUUUAAUUAAAGGAAAGUAAAUUAAGUAUUAAAUUACUCUAGGGAUAACAGCGUUAUUUAAUUAAUGAGUUCUUAUUAAGAAUUAAGUUUGCGACCUCGAUGUUGAAUUAAAU